UCAUGACCUGAGCCGAAGGCAGUCGCUUAACCAACUGAGCCACCCAGGCGCCCCAAGAGCAGUAGCCGUUUCUAAGAAGCGAACGUGGAACUGGCAGCUCCAGGCGGUCUGGGCUCCAGAUCCUCCCCUCGGGGUUGAGGCUGCCGUCGGUGUGUCCUCUGGGGUUCGUUACGCUGAUGUGGGUUUCAUUUGUGUCUCUUUGAAUGACAGGUUAGUGCCGGGUGCUGUGCUCUUACUGGUUGGUUGUGCUUGUGGGUGCGACCCAGAGGUGGCAUUCAUAGCGCUGCCCUCGGUCAGGCUCGCUCUGGGGGCCACACUCCUUUAACCCCGAGCGUGGUGGAGUUCUCUUGUGUUGCAGUCUGAUCGCUCGUCCCCAGGAGCCCCGGGAAUUUUCUCCUUUCGAAAUGGGUUUGUUACAUUGCAUUCCUUGUUUUUUCCCUAGAUCUGCGGAGGUUCAGAACCUAUAAAGGUGGCUCCGUUCGAGACCUCCUCCGAGCCAUGAGAAACAAGGUCGGUUUUCUCUUCCGGGAUGUUGAGACGAGGAGUUCCGCUCUGGGAAGCGGGCUGUCUGGUGUCAUCUGUGGUCUCUGCUGACUUGUGUGUGCCCUGUGAGACAGCACGGUAUAAACUCCCGUAAUGGGGACCUUCCCACACAGGCCUGGCCAGUGGGCCACUCCGGUAGGGCAGCUCCUGCCUGCCUCCCCAGCCCUGGGCCUGACUCGGCUCUGAGGCACCCUCCUGAACAAGGGGAAGCAGGGAAGGUAGGCGGAUGGACCGUUGAGUAUCUGAGUCUUUUCUCUUUGACAGAGAACCAACUGACGUUCUAUCUUCCUUGACUAGCGAGAGGAUCUUUCACCCGUGCUUCCUGGGCUUUCCAGCUGCUAACCCCUGUGUCUGUGUGUCCGCCUGUUUGCAGAAGCACCACUACCGGGAGCUCCCCGCGGAGGUGCGGGAGACGCUGGGCUCCCUCCCUGACGACUUCGUGCGCUACUUCACGUCCCGCUUCCCCCACCUCCUCUCCCACACCUACCGGGCCAUGGAGCCGUGCGGCCACGAGCGGCUCUUCCAGCCCUACUACUUCCACGAGCCCCCAGGGCCCUGGCCUCCAUUGACUCCAGACACCCUUUGAGCCAGGGUGGUCCUCCGUUCUGGUGGCCGCAGCUGUGACUGUGGGCCUGGUCUCUACAAGCCCGAGCCUGACGCCUCCCGGCUGGGCAAGGAGACCAGGCUCCCAAACCAAGUGCCUUGAGCUGUCCACAGUGCAGCCAGCAGGGGAUGAUGCCGACCCCAGGAAGCGGGAACCAUGACCCGUUCUGACCUGUAGAGAGCUGGGAAGAUGCUGACCACGAAAGUUCUGCAGUCGGGGGUCCUCUGCCAAGGAGGGCCCAUCCCCAGAGGCAGCGACAGAAGCAUCCUCCACCUUCUCCUGGAUGCACUUGCUUCAGACCUACACUUUCUUUUUUAAACUUCCUGUUUGAUGUCAGCCUGUGGGCCUGUAAGGAAGAGAGAGGAGGGAAUCCCACGUAUUGCCUGCGUGUGGGACCAGGAGCAUCUCUCUCCCUGGCCAGCGAGGCUAAGAGGCACUAAGCACAGCUUCUGCUCGAAGUGGGGCUCCAGAGGUGAGGGGUGUUACGGAGGAGGAAGUCGUUCAGAGCGUGUCGUUCCUGGGGAUCGGAGAUGCCUCACUCAUCACGGACGCACCCAGAGUUUCCCAGCUCACUCUGACCAGUGUUCUUUGGGGGCAGCGAGAGUCUUGAGUGUGAGGCGCAGCGUUGGGACAGGUGAGCACCGCACACUGGAAGAUGAGGCCGUGUCUGCAGAUCUCUUAGAAACGAAGAGGACGCUCUGUCCUGAGUCCACGGUAGCCCAGUGCAUCAGUGGCCUUUGGUGGAUUUGGGGGAUGUUUAGGAGCAUUUGGGGGCAAGAGGUGAUAAGUUCCCCAUCAAGAAGAGCAACACCCAGGCAGGAACAGGCCUUUGGGACCAGAGGGGAGCAGGCCAGAUGGGACACUCACGGCCACCGUGGGGGAGUCCUGGGCCAGCAGGUGGGCAAUGUGGCUCCUCCGUCCCUGGAGCCAGCAGGACGGGCCAGGGGGUCGGGAGAAGAGGCCAGGGUCACCACGGGCUUCGUGGGCAGGCUUUUAUGUUUCUCUUGGCAGAUUUUAAUAACUUUAUAUUUUGAUCAUACUGUAGAAUGCUAUGUUAGCAUAAGUAAGCUGAACUUGAAGCUUCCUUGUGAAGAAGAUAAAUGCAAGAUAUAUAAUUCACUUUUUAUUUUGUGGGUACCAAAAGUCUCCCUCCCCUCCAGAGAGAGCGUUCACGUUCAGAACAUGCUCUACUGCUGAAGAGUAAAACAGUGUAGCAAGGCUAUAUACAUCCAUUAAACAACUUCAAAGUAAUAGUCCCUAAAUUAUGUCAAUAUCUUUUUUUGCUAAAAUUAGUGUAGUUUUUAACUUUAGUUUCAGUCAGAAAUUCCUGUCUUUUCCUCUACCGAGAGCCUUAGCGGUUAAAUGUGAGCAGGGUACAGUGUGGAGGUGUUCCCCGUGUCCUUUGUCCAGCCGGGUGAGUGGGUCCCUGCACUUCAUUCAGUGCUGGGGAGCUCGGAGACUCCACUCGGGAGUAAGGAUGUUACUGACGGACCGAGAACUCACUGUUUCUUCUGUGAAAUGCUUCCUGAUGGUGGAUUGGACUGAGGGCCACUCCUCAAAAGCUCUCCUUCUGUCUUCGUAGAAUUCAGUUCCCUUCCUUUCAUAAUGCCCGGAGUCACUUUUUUCCUUAAAUUCACAUUAUCCUCCAUCUGCGUUAUCCUCCACCCUCACCGGUUACCUCAUCUAGACCUGGGAACCCCGGUGUUCUGGGCUGGCCUUGUGGUGAGUCUUCUGCCAUACCGCCCGUUUUUCAGGAACCCGGCCAGAUGCCUGCCCUCUCCCUGCUCUGCUGCAUCCACGCCAUUGUCCCUGUGGCCCUGCGGUCACUUUGCGGCCGGGCCUGAGUGGCGAUCCCCCCCCACCAGGCAGUCAGGUGGAGAAGGUCCCACAAGUGACGGGCAGGCUGUCGGUCCUCUGUGCUGCUUCUGUCUCGUGGCCGAACGGUGUCGUUGGGGGAGUAGCCAGUCACUUCUGGCUGCCCAGGGUUUGUGUCCUCUCGCUGUUCAGGCCCAGCUUGUCUCCAGGACAACUGUUUUUCACAUGCCUUUUCUGCUUCUCCUCUUCAUUUCUACCCACCCAUCUUCUCAAAUUCAUGUAUUCGAUGUGUUGGAUUCUGGGUACUCACGGGGUGAGCCAGGCUGGAUCCCGGGGGCUGGGGACGCAGAGGUGAACAAGAUAGGCAAAACCUCUGCUUUUGUGAGAGCGUAGAGGGAGAGACACAACAAACCGUAAAGAUCAGGGCUCCAGGAAAAGCCGUCCUCCGUCAGCCUUCUCUCCGUCACUUUUAGGAACCUGGUCACUCCUCAGCCCCUCGGGUGGCUUGAAGAGGUCUCAUGUGGACCCUGGUCAUGCAAACUGCUUGGGCAUUCUCCACCACAUCUCUCUUGUCUCUAGAAUCCUGGUUUCCUGUUGUGCUCUGCACCAUGAGACGGUGUCUGUCCUUUGCUAGAACAGGGCUCUGCGGCCUUGUGUAUCCUGUCACAGCGGAGCUAUUUGAUCUUUAGCACGAUUCCUGGAAGGCUGUUUAACUUUUUAGAAAUACACUAUCUUCAUUGUCACGACAGAAUUUAGUCAUAUCUGUUGGGAAUCCCAGGGACACUCUCAUUAAAUCCUGUGUUGAAUCUGUCUUUGGCACGCCUGCCAGAAUUUCUCCGGUUGCUUCUUGAGUCUUUUUAACUGCAGUUUAUCGAGAGCUCCCGUGUCGCUAGGAAUCAGAGCACUUGCACUUUGGGGGAUCAUUGGUGUCUGUGGUAAGUCACUAAAUCAUCUAGUGGCGGAUCUAAAACCCUGGGUGCAGAGGGGCUCUCCCUCACCCCGCCCUCUCCGUGCCAUAGCCAUCCUAGGCUCUUUCCAGUGAGACCUCACUCUGACCCAUUACACGGAUUAGAAGAUCCACAGGUUAGUGGGCCCCGCAAAGUAUUUUCUUUCUACCAACUCUAGAAGAAAGGCCUUGAUCAGAAUCAACUCCGGGCAAGGUUUUGUGUGAAUGUGGUUUGUUUACCAUUGCACUUCUUUCACACCACAGUGAAAGAUGCGGUGGCUGCUGAUCGGACCUCUCGCAGAUGUGGGGGGCCUCUGGGUUGUAGACCUUUCUCUUCUUGGCCGCUGUCUCUUCAGAAGUUGGGCUCUGGCCGGGUUUGGGUUUCCUGAGUCUGCUUUCGCCUUCCCGCUCUGUGUAUUGGGUCCUCAGCCUGGAGGUCGUCGCAGAAGGUAGGCUGGUUCACCUUCUGCUGCCUUCUGUGCCACGAGCCCUGGAAGAGCACACAGCACACGUGUACAGAGCCUCUCUACAUUCUCUGCUCUUUUAGUGUCUGAACUCCCUUUUCUUCACAUAUCCCAGUGUCUCUUCCUUGCUGAUUCCUUCACCAUCCUGGAGUUGUCCUUGCAGCUGAGUGUGGCCUGGCAUUGACCUUUCCUGGAAGAAAGUCACUGGGUGUCCCAUACAGAUGAGCCAAAAUGCCACCUUCCAAGGUUGGACUAUGAUCUUUUAAACCAAAGUGUCUCCUCAUCCUGCACUUUGUUUUCUUGAUGAAACAGUGAUUUCCCCCACGAGUAACCCUGGUUUCAGUUUUUUGUAUCUGCCCGUGAAUCCUUUCUGUAUUCAUUGGGCAACCACAAAGAGCGCAUCUGCAAUGAGCCUCCCCCUGGGGCAGCCUUAACCUCCACUUCCGGCCAAAGUCCCCACUCCACUCGCCUCACCCUGUGUUUGGCGGGUACAGUGUUCCUUUUCAGUAUCCCAAAAGCUGUGACGGGGGCAUCCCCACUUACCUAGAGAGCAUUACCAGUCAACCAUGCGGCAUUCUCAAAUGCAAACCUUACGUAGUGUUCUUUUUGCCAUGACCUAUUUAUUUAACCUAUUUAUAUUUAUUUAAUUUUUACUCUGACGUAUAUCCAGCUAUAAUUGCACUUGCUUUUAAAGCACAUCAGAUUUGUUUUGGACAACACACCCCUGACCAUUCUAAAACUGGAAAAAGAAAAGUUAUACUGUAUCCUUCCAUGGGAUGGACGCCUCACAGUAGUUUUAUCAUUAAAGGGUGAGAAAUUUGGUCAGGGUAAAAAUUUUCUUUUUUGAGUGAUUUUUUUAAAAAAAUUCUGUGCCAUUGUGUCUUCUCUGUAGACAGUUGUUUAAUGGGUAUGUGUUAAUUAUGUGAUAGAAUCCUCUCUGUGAACCUACAAUCCUCUUUUUAGCUUUAUAUUUUAUAAACUGCCAGAUUGUACAAUUUUUAUGUGUAUUUUUAAAGCUUGAUGUGAGGGUAAUUAUCUAAGUUAAACAGCCUAUUUUUGUACCUCCUGUACAGUUUUAUAAUUCUGCUGAUUGAUAAAGGCGUCUUACGCAGCGCCAACCACAAAUAAAGGUAGUUUUAGACCUGGAA
Molecule: non-coding RNA, 5520 nt
Organism: Leptonychotes weddellii (Weddell seal)
Lineage: Eukaryota; Metazoa; Chordata; Mammalia; Carnivora; Phocidae
Source: RefSeq, a predicted model, not a curated record